RNAcentral lists this ribosomal RNA (1431 nucleotides) under Klebsiella pneumoniae. Its description in RNAcentral is "partial 23S ribosomal RNA". It matches the Rfam family "Bacterial large subunit ribosomal RNA", at positions 1531 to 2925 of the family's 2925-position model. The record is from RNAcentral. RNAcentral also lists the same sequence under 1 other name. Lineage: Bacteria; Pseudomonadati; Pseudomonadota; Gammaproteobacteria; Enterobacterales; Enterobacteriaceae.
UCCAGGCAAAUCCGGAUAAUCAAGGCUGAGGUGUGAUGACGAGGCACUACGGUGCUGAAGUAACAAAUGCCCUGCUUCCAGGAAAAGCCUCUAAGCAUCAGGUAACAUUAAAUCGUACCCCAAACCGACACAGGUGGUCAGGUAGAGAAUACCAAGGCGCUUGAGAGAACUCGGGUGAAGGAACUAGGCAAAAUGGUGCCGUAACUUCGGGAGAAGGCACGCUGGUGUGUAGGUGAAGUCCCUGCGGAUGGAGCUGAGACCAGUCGAAGAUACCAGCUGGCUGCAACUGUUUAUUAAAAACACAGCACUGUGCAAACACGAAAGUGGACGUAUACGGUGUGACGCCUGCCCGGUGCCGGAAGGUUAAUUGAUGGGGUUAUCCGUAAGGAGAAGCUCUUGAUCGAAGCCCCGGUAAACGGCGGCCGUAACUAUAACGGUCCUAAGGUAGCGAAAUUCCUUGUCGGGUAAGUUCCGACCUGCACGAAUGGCGUAAUGAUGGCCAGGCUGUCUCCACCCGAGACUCAGUGAAAUUGAACUCGCUGUGAAGAUGCAGUGUACCCGCGGCAAGACGGAAAGACCCCGUGAACCUUUACUAUAGCUUGACACUGAACAUUGAGCCUUGAUGUGUAGGAUAGGUGGGAGGCUUUGAAGCGUGGACGCCAGUCUGCGUGGAGCCAACCUUGAAAUACCACCCUUUAAUGUUUGAUGUUCUAACGUUGGCCCCUUACCGGGGUUGCGGACAGUGUCUGGUGGGUAGUUUGACUGGGGCGGUCUCCUCCCAAAGCGUAACGGAGGAGCACGAAGGUUAGCUAAUCCUGGUCGGACAUCAGGAGGUUAGUGCAAUGGCAUAAGCUAGCUUGACUGCGAGCGUGACGGCGCGAGCAGGUGCGAAAGCAGGUCAUAGUGAUCCGGUGGUUCUGAAUGGAAGGGCCAUCGCUCAACGGAUAAAAGGUACUCCGGGGAUAACAGGCUGAUACCGCCCAAGAGUUCAUAUCGACGGCGGUGUUUGGCACCUCGAUGUCGGCUCAUCACAUCCUGGGGCUGAAGUAGGUCCCAAGGGUAUGGCUGUUCGCCAUUUAAAGUGGUACGCGAGCUGGGUUUAGAACGUCGUGAGACAGUUCGGUCCCUAUCUGCCGUGGGCGCUGGAGAAUUGAGGGGGGCUGCUCCUAGUACGAGAGGACCGGAGUGGACGCAUCACUGGUGUUCGGGUUGUCAUGCCAAUGGCACUGCCCGGUAGCUAAAUGCGGAAGAGAUAAGUGCUGAAAGCAUCUAAGCACGAAACUUGCCCCGAGAUGAGUUCUCCCUGAGACUUUAAGUCUCCUGAAGGAACGUUAAAGACGAUGACGUUGAUAGGCCGGGUGUGUAAGCGCAGCGAUGCGUUGAGCUAACCGGUACUAAUGAACCGUGAGGCUUAACCUUACAACGCCGAAG